AGGAUGAGAGCCGCUGAGGCUAGCCAAGGAGACUGCCUGCGAUCGACAACCACACACACACGCGCGCGCAGAAGAAGAGCCUCCUGCCGCAGGUGGAGUGGAGGCCACAGGCAAGUCAUCCUUGGCUACCAGAGCAGUGCUCUCAUCG
Sorghum bicolor (sorghum) is the source of this 148-nucleotide microRNA precursor. The record is from Rfam. NCBI's taxonomy places the organism in Eukaryota, Viridiplantae, Streptophyta, Magnoliopsida, Poales, Poaceae.